Molecule: ribosomal RNA, 250 nt
Filed under: uncultured bacterium
Lineage: Bacteria
Description: partial 16S ribosomal RNA
Rfam family: Bacterial small subunit ribosomal RNA
Source: RNAcentral
UACGUAAGUCGCAAGCGUUAUCCGGAAUUAUUGGGCGUAAAGCGUCCGUAGGCGGUUUUGUUAGUCUGUGGUUAAAUCCUUCCGCUCAACGGGAGAAUCGUCAUAGAAACUGCAAAACUUGAGUAGUGUAGGGGCAGAUGGAAUUCCAGAAGUAGGGGUAAAAUCCGUAGAUCUCUGGAGGAACACCAAACGCGAAGGCAUUCUGCUGGGCACUUACUGACGCUGAGGGACGAAAGCGUGGGGAGCAAAC